RNAcentral lists this ribosomal RNA (279 nucleotides) under uncultured bacterium. RNAcentral's name for it is "partial 16S ribosomal RNA". It matches the Rfam family "Bacterial small subunit ribosomal RNA", at positions 506 to 784 of the family's 1533-position model. The record is from RNAcentral.
UGCCAGCCGCCGCGGUAAUACAGAGGGUGCAAGCGUUAAUCGGAAUUACUGGGCGUAAAGCGUACGUAGGUGGUUAGAUAAGUUAGGUGUGAAAUCCCUGGGCUCAACCUGGGAAUUGCGCUUAAAACUGUUUGGCUAGAGUUCUGUAGAGGAAAGUGGAAUUUCCGGUGUAGCGGUGAAAUGCGUAGAUAUCGGAAGGAACAUCAGUGGCGAAGGCGACUUUCUGGACAGAUACUGACACUGAGGUACGAAAGCGUGGGGAGCGAACAGGAUUAGAUA